Molecule: ribosomal RNA, 464 nt
Filed under: Vreelandella stevensii
Lineage: Bacteria; Pseudomonadati; Pseudomonadota; Gammaproteobacteria; Oceanospirillales; Halomonadaceae
Description: partial 16S ribosomal RNA
Rfam family: Bacterial small subunit ribosomal RNA
Source: RNAcentral
CCUACGGGUGGCAGCAGUGGGGAAUAUUGGACAAUGGGGGGAACCCUGAUCCAGCCAUGCCGCGUGUGUGAAGAAGGCCCUCGGGUUGUAAAGCACUUUCAGUGAGGAAGAACGCCUGGUGGUUAAUACCCAUCAGGAAAGACAUCACUCACAGAAGAAGCACCGGCUAACUCCGUGCCAGCAGCCGCGGUAAUACGGAGGGUGCGAGCGUUAAUCGGAAUUACUGGGCGUAAAGCGCGCGUAGGUGGCUUGAUAAGCCGGUUGUGAAAGCCCCGGGCUCAACCUGGGAACGGCAUCCGGAACUGUCAAGCUAGAGUGCAGGAGAGGAAGGUAGAAUUCCCGGUGUAGCGGUGAAAUGCGUAGAGAUCGGGAGGAAUACCAGUGGCGAAGGCGGCCUUCUGGACUGACACUGACACUGAGGUGCGAAAGCGUGGGUAGCAAACAGGAUUAGAUACCCGUUAGUC